CCUACGGGUGGCAGCAGUGGGGAAUAUUGCACAAUGGGGGAAACCCUGAUGCAGCGACGCCGCGUGAGUGAAGAAGUAUUUCGGUACGUAAAGCUCUAUCAGCAGGGAAGAAAAACAGUCCUUUGGACUUUGGACGGUACCUGACCAAGAAGCCCCGGCUAACUACGUGCCAGCAGCCGCGGUAAUACGUCGGGGGCAAGCGUUAUCCGGAUUUACUGGGUGUAAAGGGAGCGUAGACGGCAGCGCAAGUCUGGAGUGAAAUGCCGGGGCCCAACCCCGGAACUGCUUUGGAAACUGUGCAGCUGGAGUGCAGGAGAGGUAAGCGGAAUUCCUAGUGUAGCGGUGAAAUGCGUAGAUAUUAGGAAGAACACCAGUGGCGAAGGCGGCUUGCUGGACUGAAACUGACGCUGAGGCACGAAAGCGUGGGGAGCGAACAGGAUUAGAUACCCUUGUAGUC
Molecule: ribosomal RNA, 457 nt
Filed under: uncultured bacterium
Lineage: Bacteria
Description: partial 16S ribosomal RNA
Rfam family: Bacterial small subunit ribosomal RNA
Source: RNAcentral